This is a long non-coding RNA of Saccostrea cuccullata (small rock oyster), 1159 nucleotides long. RefSeq lists it as uncharacterized. The transcript has 4 exons. The record is from RefSeq and is a predicted model, not a curated record. NCBI's taxonomy places the organism in Eukaryota, Metazoa, Mollusca, Bivalvia, Ostreida, Ostreidae.
AUUUAACAAAUUUAAUUAUAAACUACGAGAAAAUAGUCCGAAUCUAACGAAGUACAACUUGUGGAUAAUGGCUGUGGGCAUGAUGAUGCAAGCUUGCCAGGCGCAGUGUUUAAAACCAAUGUUAAGCUUGAUUUAGCCACUGCAUUAUAAGGAGAGAAGCAGAAACCCUGACUAAAGUAAAGAUGAUUUGCAUAACAAAGGCAGAUGAAUAAAUCACAAGAGUCCAAAGUUUUGAUGACCAUGCAGAGUCGAGAUAUUGAAACAAAGACAUGCCUGCACUGUUCACUCAAUUUUUCAGAAUAACGUGUCAAAUUGAAAUCCAUCUUAUGUUGGACUAAACAAUCAGGACAUUUUUCUGGAUCACAGGUUGCACAAAGUAUUGACAAAAUCAAAGAUUACCUGGUAGUCUGCAAAUGGAGUGAUCAUUGGAUGAGGCAGACAACACCAUUUUCCUCGGAAAUUUUAGAAUAGAGGCAAUCUCCAUCUUCAUAGAUGACUGAUGUCGACAUUUUCUCACUUCUGUUUCAUGUCUUUUCUACAGCAUGGACUCCAGCAUCAGUGGGCACUUGACAAUUAUUCUUCUUAUUUUGUUCUAAUAUCCUUAAAUAUAGGAUAAACAAUUCAUUUAUCUUUUAAAAUAUUGUUAAAUUUUACUUAAUAAAACGAUAAAAACAGUGCAAACAAACUGGUUUAUCCUAUAAUCUAAAGCUGUUUUAUGGUUCAAGCAUUUAUAAUUUUACAAGACUUAUUAAAAAUCUGUUAAGGUACUUGGAUUCUCAGCCAAGAAGGAUAACUCUUUAAUUUAUAAUUUAAUUCAGAAUCUCAAAAUGAAUCUUGAAAAAUUAAAUCUCUUCAUGCAACAGUUUUUAUUUUAUCAUGAUAAUGUUUAUAACUUCUCAAUGUCCUUUAAGGUUGUUUGAAGUUCUCAGAAAGGUCUUGUAGAAAGUCGAAAUGUUAACCUUAUAUAGUAAAACUCUGUUAAAGAAAAGUCAAUGGGACCUAUGAAAAUACUUUGCUAUAACCAUAAUUUGUUUUAUCCGUAUAAGGAAUUCAUUAAUUUACAUAGCUGGGGAUCCAAGGUUACCUCGCUAUAUCUGUGAAUUCGCAAUAUCUGUGUUCAUAUCUAGACAAAUUUUUGAUAUAAAAUCUCUUACUUAAA